AUAGCUGGUUCUCCCCGAAAUAGCUUUAGGGCUAGCCUCAAGGUGAGAGAUACGGAGGUAGAGCACUGAAUGUCCUAGGGGGUAUUGCACCUACCGAAGACUAUUAAACUCCGAAUGCCGUCAUCUUAUACUUGGGAGUCAGACUGUGGGUGAUAAGAUUCAUAGUCGAAAGGGCAACAGCCCAGAUCGUCAGCUAAGGUCCCUAAAUGUAAGUUAAGUGGUAAAGGAUGUGGGAUUGCACAGACAACCAGGAUGUUGGCUUAGAAGCA
This 269-nucleotide ribosomal RNA is filed under the name Clostridioides difficile. RNAcentral's name for it is "partial 23S ribosomal RNA". It matches the Rfam family "Bacterial large subunit ribosomal RNA", at positions 845 to 1114 of the family's 2925-position model. Lineage: Bacteria; Bacillati; Bacillota; Clostridia; Peptostreptococcales; Peptostreptococcaceae. The record is from RNAcentral.